AAGAAUUUUGAAAUACAAACGGAGUCUGUCAAACUUAUUGCAUCGUAAUUACGACCAAUUUAUUUAGUAAUAAACUAAAUAAAUUGAUAAUAUGCUGCUUCGGCUACAAUGGAUAGUGUCUAGGCAUUUGUACUUUUCAUGAAAACUAGGAAUGAGAGUAGUGUGGCAGAAUGUGCGACAAAAUUACAAACGUAUGGAAUUGAUGGCAACUGUAAUCCGCACGAGAUUAGAGAAAGUGGUGUCAAUAAGGGUUGUUUUGAUAUUGCUUGAACUUUCCUGUGAAUAUACAGAAAGGAUCUAUAGGACAAAUUCAUUGCAUAACUUUACCAUUAUCAUUUCACUAGUGGAUGUGUGUGUAAAAGCAAAUAUUUUUAGUUAAAAAUGCUAUUGUUCUUCUACAAUGGAACCUCAUUUACAAUAAAGUUCAAGAAGUGUU
Long non-coding RNA from Hermetia illucens (black soldier fly), 436 nucleotides. RefSeq lists it as uncharacterized. The record is from RefSeq and is a predicted model, not a curated record. The transcript is spliced from 2 exons. Lineage: Eukaryota; Metazoa; Arthropoda; Insecta; Diptera; Stratiomyidae.